AAAGUGAAACCGCAAAAGGCUCAUUAUAUCAGUUAUGGUUCCUUAGAUUGUUAACAGUUACUUGGAUAACUGUGGUAAUUCUAGAGCUAAUACAUGCAAUAUAAACAUGUACCAUAGUGUAUUUAUAUAUUAUGAGACAUGUGCUUUUAUUAGGCAAAAACCAAGCAAUUGACGAUUCGUUGUUGAUUGUUGAACUUUGGUUGAACUCUAGAUAACUCGCUGAUCGUAUGGUCUAGUACCGACGACAGAUCUUUCAAAUGUCUGCCCUAUCAACUUUUGAUGGUAGUAUAUUGGACAACCAUGGUUGCUACGGGUAACGGGGAAUCAGGGUUCGAUUCCGGAGAGGGAGCCUGAGAAACGGCUACCACAUCUAAGGAAGGCAGCAGGCGCGUAAAUUACCCACUCCCAGUUCGGGGAGGUAGUGACGAAAAAUAACAAUACAGGACUCAUUUUAGAGGCAUUGUAAUUGGAAUGAGUACACUUUAAAUCCUUUAACGAGGACCCAUUGGAGGGCAAGCCAAGUGCCAGCAGCCGCGGUAACACUUGCUCCAAUAGCGUAUAUUAAUGUUGUUGCGGUUAAAACGUUCGUAGUUUAACCUGUGCUUCAUACGGGUAGUACUGAUUAUAGCUAUAGUCAUUUACUAUACCUUCGGUAUGUAAGCGUAUUAUCGGUGGGAGUUUCAUAUGUGUAUAUGUUGUGUAGGAUUGUGUUGGAAGUGGUUGUCGUGCUGUGUCAUUGCGGUAAUUGUGCUCGUUGUCCUCUAGCGGAGGUACAUCGUCAUAUUACGCAUGCGCUCACGUUUUGACGACAUUAUCAUCCAUUCUGCCAGUAUGCAUGUAUACUCCUAAUUUUCUUUUUCAACACAGCGAAAAAGAAAAACCCAUCGCAGUGCUCUUUAUCGGGUGUUGUGUGGGCCGGUACAAUUACUUUGAACAAAUUAGAGUGCUUCAAGCAGGCUAUUAAAUGCCUGAAUAUUUUGUGCAUGGAAUAAUGAAAUAAGACCUCUGUUCUACUUUCAUUGGUUUCUAGAUCAAAAGAGGUAAUGAUUAAUAGAAGCAGUUUGGGGGCAUUAGUAUUACGACGCGAGAGGUGAAAUUCUUGGACCGUCGUAAGACUAACUUAAGCGAAAGCAUUUGCCAAAGAUGUUUUCAUUAAUCAAGAACGAAAGUUAGAGGUUCGAAGGCGAUCAGAUACCGCCCUAGUUCUAACCAUAAACGAUGCCAGCUAGCAAUUGGGUGUAGCUAAGAUUAUGGCUCACUCAGUCGCUCCCGGGAAACCAAAGCUUUUGGGCUCCGGGGGAAGUAUGGUUGCAAAGCUGAAACUUAAAGGAAUUGACGGAAGGGCACCACCAGGAGUGGAGCCUGCGGCUUAAUUUGACUCAACACGGGAAAACUUACCAGGUCCGAACAUAAGCGUGUAAGACAGAUUGAUAGCUCUUUCUCGAAUCUAUGGGUGGUGGUGCAUGGCCGUUCUUAGUUCGUGGAGUGAUUUGUCUGGUUAAUUCCGAUAACGAACGAGACUCAAAUAUAUUAAAUAGAUGCUUGCAGGAUUAUGGUGUUGAAACAUUUAUAGCCAUCAUUCAUUUUGUGUGCGAGUACAAUGUCGUACGAUGGUUGUGCGAUGAAUGUCAAUCGACUCUUGGGUUGUAUUGCAUUCAUUGCCUACCCGAACAUGAUAUCUGUUAUUUGCAUCACAUAUGCUUGACUGCGUUUUAUAAAUGUGGAGCCGUACCUGUUGGUUUGUCCUAAAUAUACUUUAUAGAGGGAUACUUAGCUUCUUAAAUGGACAAAUUGCGUCUAGCAAUAAUGAGAUUGAGCAAUAACAGGUCUGUGAUGCCCUUAGAUGUCCUGGGCUGCACGCGCGCUACAAUGAAAGUAUCAACGUGUAUUUAUCCUAGACUGAGAGGUCCGGGUAAACCGCUGAAACACUUUCAUGCUUGGGAUUGUGAACUGCAACUGUUCACAUCAACUUGGAAUUCCCAGUAAGUGCGAGUCAUUAGCUCGCGUUGAUUACGUCCCUGCCCUUUGUACACACCGCCCGUCGCUACUACUGAUUGAAUUAUUUAGUGAGGUCUCCGGACGUGAUCACUGUAACGAAAGGGCUUGGUGUGUUACGGGUGUAUCGCAUAAGUGACCGAA
This 2139-nucleotide ribosomal RNA is filed under the name Eucampsipoda theodori. RNAcentral's name for it is "SSU rRNA". It matches the Rfam family "Eukaryotic small subunit ribosomal RNA". The record is from RNAcentral. Lineage: Eukaryota; Metazoa; Arthropoda; Insecta; Diptera; Nycteribiidae.